This 492-nucleotide ribosomal RNA is filed under the name uncultured bacterium. RNAcentral's name for it is "partial 16S ribosomal RNA". It matches the Rfam family "Bacterial small subunit ribosomal RNA", at positions 29 to 507 of the family's 1533-position model. The record is from RNAcentral.
AGUGAACGCUGGCGGUAGGCCUAACACAUGCAAGUCGAACGGCAGCACAGUAGGAGCUUGCUCUUACGGGUGGCGAGUGGCGGACGGGUGAGGAAUACAUCGGAAUCUACUUUUUCGUGGGGGAUAACGUAGGGAAACUUACGCUAAUACCGCAUACGACCUACGGGUGAAAGCAGGGGAUCUUCGGACCUUGCGCGAUUGAAUGAGCCGAUGUCGGAUUAGCUAGUUGGCGGGGUAAAGGCCCACCAAGGCGACGAUCCGUAGCUGGUCUGAGAGGAUGAUCAGCCACACUGGAAUUGAGACACGGUCCAGACUCCUACGGGAGGCAGCAGUGGGGAAUAUUGGACAAUGGGCGCAAGCCUGAUCCAGCCAUACCGCGUGGGUGAAGAAGGCCUUCGGGUUGUAAAGCCCUUUUGUUGGGAAAGAAAAGCAGCAGGUUAAUACCCCGCUGUUCUGACGGUACCCAAAGAAUAAGCACCGGCUAACUUCGUG